UUAAUUAUGGUGUAGUGGUAAAAUUUUUGGUUUACCCCCAAAAACGGGCAAGGUUCGAAUCCUUUUGUUGGG
This is a non-coding RNA of Meloidogyne enterolobii, 72 nucleotides long. Lineage: Eukaryota; Metazoa; Nematoda; Chromadorea; Rhabditida; Meloidogynidae. The record is from the annotation of a GenBank genome assembly.